This 69-nucleotide transfer RNA is filed under the name Babina holsti (dagger frog). RNAcentral describes it as "tRNA-Pro". It matches the Rfam family "tRNA". Rfam says of the family: Transfer RNA (tRNA) molecules are approximately 80 nucleotides in length. Their secondary structure includes four short double-helical elements and three loops (D, anti-codon, and T loops). Further hydrogen bonds mediate the characteristic L-shaped molecular structure. tRNAs have two regions of fundamental functional importance: the anti-codon, which is responsible for specific mRNA codon recognition, and the 3' end, to which the tRNAs corresponding amino acid is attached (by aminoacyl-tRNA synthetases). tRNAs cope with the degeneracy of the genetic code in two manners: having more than one tRNA (with a specific anti-codon) for a particular amino acid; and 'wobble' base-pairing, i.e. permitting non-standard base-pairing at the 3rd anti-codon position. The record is from RNAcentral. Lineage: Eukaryota; Metazoa; Chordata; Amphibia; Anura; Ranidae.
CAAGGCAUAAUUUAAAUAGAAUGUUGGCUUUGGGGGUCAUCAGUAGAGGUUAAAGUCCUUUUGCCUUGA